RNAcentral lists this ribosomal RNA (465 nucleotides) under uncultured bacterium. RNAcentral's name for it is "partial 16S ribosomal RNA". It matches the Rfam family "Bacterial small subunit ribosomal RNA", at positions 28 to 507 of the family's 1533-position model. The record is from RNAcentral.
GACGAACGCUGGCGGUGUGCUUAACACAUGCAAGUCGAACGGAAAGGCCCCUUUGGGGGUACUCUAGUUGCUAACGGGCGAGUAACACGCGAGUAACCUUCCCUUCACUUCUGGGUAACUUCAGGUAACUGGGGAUAAUACCAGAUAAGAAUCCUUGCUGCGGGAUGGUGUUUGGAAAGUGUCGGAGGUGUUGGAAGGAUUCGCGGCUGAUCAGCUUGUUGGUGGGGUAGUGGCCUACCAGGGCUUUGCCGGGUAGCAGGCCUGGGAAGGCGACCGGCCACAUUGGGACUGAGAUACGGCCAAGACUCCUACGGGAGGCAGCAGUGGGGAAUAUUGAUCAAUGAGCGGAAGCCUGAUGCAGCACCGCCGCGUGCGGGAUGACGGCAUUCGGGUUGUAAACCGCAUGCAGCAGGGGCGAAGCUUGUGGUGACGGUACCUGCAGAAGAAGCACCGGCUAACUACGUG